RNAcentral lists this transfer RNA (66 nucleotides) under Caridina multidentata. RNAcentral describes it as "tRNA-Pro". It matches the Rfam family "tRNA". Rfam says of the family: Transfer RNA (tRNA) molecules are approximately 80 nucleotides in length. Their secondary structure includes four short double-helical elements and three loops (D, anti-codon, and T loops). The record is from RNAcentral. Lineage: Eukaryota; Metazoa; Arthropoda; Malacostraca; Decapoda; Atyidae.
CAGAAAAUAGUUUAAUUAAAAUUUUAGUUUUGGGAACUGAAGAUGGGAGUUCACUUUCUUUUCUGA